AUUGAACGCUGGCGGCAUGCUUUACACAUGCAAGUCGAACGGUAACAGGUCUUCGGAUGCUGACGAGUGGCGAACGGGUGAGUAAUACAUCGGAACGUGCCUAGUAGUGGGGGAUAACUACUCGAAAGAGUAGCUAAUACCGCAUGAGAUCUACGGAUGAAAGCAGGGGACCUUCGGGCCUUGUGCUACUAGAGCGGCUGAUGGCAGAUUAGGUAGUUGGUGGGGUAAAGGCUUACCAAGCCUGCGAUCUGUAGCUGGUCUGAGAGGACGACCAGCCACACUGGGACUGAGACACGGCCCAGACUCCUACGGGAGGCAGCAGUGGGGAAUUUUGGACAAUGGGCGAAAGCCUGAUCCAGCAAUGCCGCGUGCAGGAUGAAGGCCCUCGGGUUGUAAACUGCUUUUGUACGGAACGAAAAGCCUGGGGCUAAUAUCCCCGGGUCAUGACGGUACCGUAAGAAUAGGCACCGGCUAACUACGUG
Molecule: ribosomal RNA, 482 nt
Filed under: uncultured bacterium
Lineage: Bacteria
Description: partial 16S ribosomal RNA
Rfam family: Bacterial small subunit ribosomal RNA
Source: RNAcentral